CAGUUAUCGUUUAUUUGAUAUCUACCUUUACAUGGAUAACCGUGGUAAUUCUAGGGCUAAUACAUGCUUAAAACCCCGACUUUCGAAGGGGUGUAUUUAUUAGAUUAAAGCCAAUGCCCUUCGGGGCUUUCUGGUGAUUCAUAAUAACUUAACGAAUCGCAUAGCCUUGUGCUGGCGAUGGUUCAUUCAAAUUUCUGCCCUAUCAACUCGUCGGUAGGAUAGUGGCCUACCGUGGUUUCAACGGGUAACGGGGAAUUAGGGUUCGAUUCCGGAGAGCCCGCCUGAGAAACGGCGAGCACGUCCAAGGAAGGCAGCAGGCGCGCAAAUUACCCAAUGGGGAAACCCCGAGGUAGUGACAAAAAAUAUCGAUCGAGGGCUCUUAUGGGUUUUCGAAUCGGAAUGAGUACAGUUUAAAUCCCUUAACGAGGAACAAUUGGAGGGCAAGUCUGGUGCCAGCAGCCGCGGUAAUUCCAGCUCCAAUAGCGUAUAUUAAAGUUGUUGCAGUUAAAAAGCUCGUAGUUGAACCUCGGGUUCGACCGUUCGGUCCGCUUCACGGCGUGUUACCUCUCGGCCGGACCUCUCCUUCUGGCUAACCGCAUGUUUUUUACUAAGCGUGUUGGGGAUCCAGGACUUUUACUUUGAAAAAAUUAGAGUGUUCAAAGCAGGUCAUUGCUCGAAUACAUUAGCAUGGAAUAAUAGAAUAGGACGGUGGUCUUAUUUGUUGGCUUACAGACCAUCGUAAU
Molecule: ribosomal RNA, 743 nt
Filed under: Thelotrema lepadinum
Lineage: Eukaryota; Fungi; Ascomycota; Lecanoromycetes; Ostropales; Graphidaceae
Description: SSU rRNA
Rfam family: Eukaryotic small subunit ribosomal RNA
Source: RNAcentral